GAGGUCAUAUACAACAUGUCUCAUUCACGUUGCCGAGGAGUGGCGCACUUGACGAUAUACUGACGGUGUUCGACGAAAUGCCCCUGAAACCAAGGCAUCCUGACGUGCAUACACCGAGAUCAAUGUCUCAUACACGUCGCCCAGGAGGGGUGCGCUUGACGAUGAACUGACAUGACCCGAAGGGCACCUGCACUGCACUGACGGUGUUCGACGAAAUGCCCCUGAAACCAAGGCGUCGUUACGUGCAUAAACUGAGAUCAACAUUGACUCCACUGUCACAAGGCAUCAGCUUUCCAGCUGUAAUGUGAGUUCCCCAAAUGAAAGAAUACAUACUUAUAAUGCAACUCUGCACAUAAUCUUCUGGGAAGUCAUGGGGGCCAUAUGAAUCAAGCUCACUUCUGAUGUUUUGUCGGGUUAUAUGUUCUUCCGCCCUAAUCACUCUCGGUAUAUUGUUGCUGUAAAUUAUUUUCCAACACCACUAUAAAAAAGAUGCAUGACAUGAUGGCCCGGUCCAAUCUCGAUCUCUUAAUUGACAAAAUGAAUCAGUGUUUCAUGAGCCGGACCGGUCGAACGCGUCAAAAUCGACCAAGACACC
This 595-nucleotide long non-coding RNA is filed under the name Musa acuminata (dwarf banana). RNAcentral describes it as "long non-coding RNA (MACU_LNC002929)". The record is from RNAcentral. Lineage: Eukaryota; Viridiplantae; Streptophyta; Magnoliopsida; Zingiberales; Musaceae.